Molecule: unclassified non-coding RNA, 301 nt
Filed under: plant metagenome
Description: partial contains small subunit ribosomal RNA, internal transcribed spacer 1, and 5.8S ribosomal RNA
Rfam family: 5.8S ribosomal RNA (bases 253-301)
Source: RNAcentral
UUUCCGUAGGUGAACCUGCGGAAGGAUCAUUGUCGAAGCCUGCCCAGCAGAACGACCCGCGAACUUGUAUAAACAACCGGGGGCAGGGGCGAUCUCGCCCCGUGCCCUCGAACGGCAGGGAGACACUCGUGCCUUCUUGUCGAACAACGAACCCCGGCGCGGUCUGCGCCAAGGAACUUCAAUUAAAGAGUGCCUCCGGUCGCCUCGGAAACGAUGCGCGUGUCGGAGGCGAAUCUUGUACAAAACCAUAACGACUCUCGGCAACGGAUAUCUCGGCUCUCGCAUCGAUGAAAAACGCAGC